This 494-nucleotide ribosomal RNA is filed under the name uncultured bacterium. RNAcentral's name for it is "bacterial SSU rRNA". It matches the Rfam family "Bacterial small subunit ribosomal RNA", at positions 29 to 517 of the family's 1533-position model. The record is from RNAcentral.
AUUGAACGCUGGCGGCGUGCCUAACACAUGCAAGUCGAGCGGUAACAGGUGUAGCAAUACAUGCUGACGAGCGGCGGACGGGUGAGUAACGCUUGGGAAUCUGCCUGUUAGUGGGGGACAACCCGGGGAAACUCGGGCUAAUACCGCAUACGCACUACGGUGGAAAGCCGGGGACCGCAAGGCCUGGCGCUAACAGAUGAGCCCAAGUCGGAUUAGCUAGUUGGUAGGGUAACGGCCACCAAGGCGACGAUCCGUAACUGGUCUGAGAGGACGACCAGUCACACCGGAACUGAGACACGGUCCGGACUCCUACGGGAGGCAGCAGUGGGGAAUAUUGGACAAUGGGCGAAAGCCUGAUCCAGCGACGCCGCGUGGGUGAAGAAGGCCUGCGGGUUGUAAGGCCCUUUCGGUGGGGGAGGAAAGCCUCGAGUUAACACCUCGGGUCUUGACGUAACCCAUUAAAGAAGCACCGGCUAACUCUGUGCCAGCAGCCG